RNAcentral lists this ribosomal RNA (2059 nucleotides) under Candidatus Omnitrophota bacterium. RNAcentral's name for it is "partial 23S ribosomal RNA". It matches the Rfam family "Bacterial large subunit ribosomal RNA", at positions 1 to 2034 of the family's 2925-position model. The record is from RNAcentral. Lineage: Bacteria; Pseudomonadati; Candidatus Omnitrophota.
GGUCAAGCUACAAAGGGUCUAUGUAUGGAUGACUUGGCUAGGUAGUGCGAAGAAGGACGGGGUAAGCACCGAUAUGCUCCGGGGAGUCGCAAACAGGCUUUGAUCCGGAGAUUUCCGAAUGGGGAAACCUACUCCAACUAAUAUUGGAGUCUCUAUUGCUGAAUUCAUAGGCAGUAGAGGCAAUACUAGGGGAACUGAAACAUCUCAGUACCCUAAGGAAAAGAAAUCGAAUGAGAUUCCCCCAGUAGUGGCGAGCGAAAAGGGAAAAGCCUAAACCCUGUGCUGUAUAGCACAGGGGGUUGCGGGAUUCCACCAUAAAGGUAGAUGGAGGAAUAGCAGAAGUAUCUGGAAAGAUACGCCCAAGAAGGUGAAAGCCCUGUAUGCGAAAUUCCAAAAUCGCCUAAGGAAGUUCCCAAGUACUACGGGACACGGGAAAUCCUGUAGGAAUCUGGGCCGCCCAAGGUCCAAGGCUAAAUACUCACCUAGACCGAUAGUGGACAAGUACCGUGAGGGAAAGUUGAAAAGAACCCCGGUGAGGGGAGUGAAAUAGAACCUGAAAUCAUAGACCUACAAGCGGUAGGAGGGCUAUGAGCCGAAUUUUCGGCUAAUGCCUGACUGCGUACCUUUUGCAUAAUGGACCGACGAGUUAUUCUUGUAAGCGAGUCUAAGGCCAAAAUGGCUGAAGGCGUAGGGAAACCAAGUCCUAAAGGGGCGCUUUAGCUUGCAGGAAUAGACCCGAAACCAGGUGAUCUACCCAUGGCCAAGGGGAAGUUCGCCGAAAGGCGGAUGGACGUCUGAACCCGUCACUGUUGAAAAAGUGUGGGAUGAGUUGUGGGUAGGAGUGAAAGGCUAAACAAACCUGGAAAUAGCUGGUUCUCCCCGAAAUAUCUCUAGGGAUAGCCUCGGGUUAACUACGUAGAAGGGGUAGAGUGCUGAAUGGGUUACGGGUCCUUACCAGGAUGCUGAACCCAACCAAACUUCGAAUACUUCUACGUUUAUCCAGGGAGUAAGACUUUGGGGGAUAAGCUCCAUAGUCAAAAGGGAAUCAGCCCAGACCACCAGCUAAGGUCCCUAAAUAUAGGCUAAGUGGUGAAGGAUGUAGAGUUACUAAGACAACCAGGAUGUUGGCUUAGAGGCAGCCAUCAUUUAAAGAGUGCGUAACAGCUCACUGGUCGAGUAAUUCUGCGCCGAAGAUUCACGGGGCUUAAGCCUAUUACCGAAGCUGUGGUUCGCCAAAGUUUCUUUGGCGGAGGUAGGGGAGCGUUCUGCAUUGCGCUGAAGGUAGACCGUGAGGACUACUGGAGUAGGCAGAAGUGAUUAUGUCGGUAUGAGUAGCGAAAAUGCCGGCGAGAAACCGGCAGGCCGAAAGUCUAAGGUUUCCUGGGGAAGGUUAAUCCGCCCAGGGUUAGUCGAGCCUAAGCCGAGGCUGUAAAUCGCGUAGGUGAUGGAGAUGCCGUUAAUAUUCGGCAACCAGCUAAAUAACGUUUUUACCUAAACCGAUGACGCACUGAGGUUAGCACGGCAGAGGAAUGGAGGUCUCUGUUUCUUUCGGAGUAAUCCAAAAGAGGGAUCUGGCGGUUUCCAAAGGAGAAGUGUGCUGAAUCUUGGUGCCAAGAAAAAUCUGUUUAGGGAGUUAUUUAGCUGUUCGUACCGGAAUCCGACACAGGUAGACCACCAGAAAAUGGUAAGGCCCUCGAGAUAACCCUCGUUAAGGAACUCGGCAAAAUAGCCCCGUAACUUCGGAAGAAGGGGUGCCCUGAUAUUUGUAGUUUCAUAAACGAAGGAUAUCAGGGUCUCAGUAAAGUGGCCCGGGUGACUGUUUAGUAAAAACACAGCACUCUGCAAACUCGAAAGAGGAAGUAUAGGGUGUGAAACCUGCCCGGUGCUGGAAGGUGAAGGGGAGGAGUUAUUUCGAAAUUUCGGAAGAAGCUCUGAACCGAAGCCCCAGUAAACGGCGGCCGUAACUAUAACGGUCCUAAGGUAGCGAAAUUCCUUGUGGGGUAAGUUCCCACGCGCACGAAUGGUCUAACAACUUGGGCGCUGUCUCAACGAGGGACUC